RNAcentral lists this ribosomal RNA (433 nucleotides) under uncultured bacterium. RNAcentral's name for it is "partial 16S ribosomal RNA". It matches the Rfam family "Bacterial small subunit ribosomal RNA", at positions 29 to 507 of the family's 1533-position model. The record is from RNAcentral.
AACGAACGCUGGCGGCAUGCCUAACACAUGCAAGUCGAACGAGACCUUCGGGUCUAGUGGCGCACGGGUGCGUAACGCGUGGGAACCUGCCCUUAGGUUCGGAAUAACUCCCCGAAAGGGGUGCUGAUACCGGAUAAUGUCUUCGGACCAAAGAUUUAUCGCCUUUGGAUGGGCCCGCGUUGGAUUAGCUAGUUGGUAGGGUAAAAGCCUACCAAGGCGACGAUCCAUAGCUGGUCUGAGAGGAUGAUCAGCCACACUGGGGCUGAGACACGGCCCAGACUCCUACGGGAGGCAGCAGUGGGGAAUAUUGGACAAUGGGCGAAAGCCUGAUCCAGCAAUGCCGCGUGAGUGAUGAAGGCCUUAGGGUUGUAAAGCUCUUUUACCCGGGAUGAUAAUGACAGUACCGGGAGAAUAAGCUCCGGCUAACUCCGUG